This 83-nucleotide transfer RNA is filed under the name Eubacteriales bacterium. Its description in RNAcentral is "tRNA-Leu". It matches the Rfam family "tRNA". From Rfam's summary of the family: Transfer RNA (tRNA) molecules are approximately 80 nucleotides in length. Their secondary structure includes four short double-helical elements and three loops (D, anti-codon, and T loops). Lineage: Bacteria; Bacillati; Bacillota; Clostridia; Eubacteriales. The record is from RNAcentral.
GCCGGUGUGGUGGAAUGGUAGACACAAGGGACUUAAAAUCCCUCGUUAGCAAUAACGUACCGGUUCGAGUCCGGUUACCGGCA